GAUGAACGCUGGCGGCGUGCCUAAUACAUGCAAGUCGAGCGAACAGACGAGGAGCUUGCUCCUCUGACGUUAGCGGAGGACGGGUGAGUAACACGUGGAUAACCUACCUAUAAGACUGGGAAAACUUCGGGAAACCGGAGCUAAUACCGGAUAAUAUAUUGAACCGCAUGGUUCAAUAGUGAAAGACGGUUUUGCUGUCACUUAUAGAUGGAUCCGCGCCGCAUUAGCUAGUUGGUAAGGUAACGGCUUACGAAGGCAACGAUGCGUAGCCGACCUGAGAGGGUGAUCGGCCACACUGGAACUGAGACACGGUCCAGACUCCUACGGGAGGCAGCAGUAGGGAAUCUUCCGCAAUGGGCGAAAGCUUUACGGAGCAACGCCGCGUGAGUGAUGAAGGUCUUCGGAUCGUAAAACUCUGUUAUUAGGGAAGAACAAAUGUGUAAGUAACUAUGCACGUCUUGACGGUACCUAAUCAGAAAGCCACGGCUAACUACGUG
RNAcentral lists this ribosomal RNA (497 nucleotides) under uncultured bacterium. Its description in RNAcentral is "partial 16S ribosomal RNA". It matches the Rfam family "Bacterial small subunit ribosomal RNA", at positions 28 to 507 of the family's 1533-position model. The record is from RNAcentral.